This 71-nucleotide microRNA precursor is filed under the name Anopheles gambiae (African malaria mosquito). Its description in RNAcentral is "microRNA aga-mir-998 precursor". Its record names the gene aga-mir-998. Lineage: Eukaryota; Metazoa; Arthropoda; Insecta; Diptera; Culicidae. The record is from miRBase by way of RNAcentral.
GCUGAACUCUCGUGGGUCUGCAGUAUUUACAAGCGGCCACAUCGUUCAUGUAGCACCAUGAGAUUCAGCUC